Scylla paramamosain (green mud crab) is the source of this 1395-nucleotide long non-coding RNA. RefSeq lists it as uncharacterized. Lineage: Eukaryota; Metazoa; Arthropoda; Malacostraca; Decapoda; Portunidae. The transcript has 5 exons. The record is from RefSeq and is a predicted model, not a curated record.
UCUCAGGUGCGGGAACAUGGCAAGAGGUGGCGGCGUUGGCAGCUGGUAAUACACCCUCACAGGUGACCAAGGGCAGUACCGUCGCCAGGUGGCCACACAGCCCCCCUCCUCAUACUGCUGGUGAACCUCAACGUGACAGAUCUCUAGAUGGACGGCACUUGGAACUGAAUCCUGAGACGAAUCAUCUUGGCAGCGCGAGACUCAAGGGACGAGGCUGAUAUGAUUGUGUGUGGCGUAAAUAACAAGCCAGCGCCAAGUACACGAGUUGGGACGAAACGACACCGUGACGCAGUGGGCCUCUGGUCUCGUGAAGAGUGAUCUGCCGUAAGAGGAAGAAUGCACGUGAGUUUUGUCCUGGCCACGGAAUUCCGGAUAACGCAGGUGUUUGGGAGAGUGGAUGAUCAGACAGGACUGAGUAGAUGCUGAGUCUCGAGAGUGAACUGUGUGGUGCAGGACUGUAGCGGUUAUGCAGUCUCUUUUUAACGAGAGACACAUCGUGGAGGAGGCUGGCGAGUGCUCUCAACACACGUGACGGAGCGGCGCCAUGGUAACUGUCACCGUGGCCAGGAAGUCUCUUGUGCUGAACACUGCAAUGUUGUGUUAUCAAGACUGUGUAUUGGUGCAGCGCAUACAGUCGGAUCACUAAGCGUGUUGUAGUGAUGAAACUAUGGAAACUAUGGCGAAUGAUUAUUGAUCGUUGGAAAAAAGCAUAGGUGUGAUAAUAAUUCGGUGCUUGAGUUACACUAACACUCCAUCACUACCGCCACCACGGCCAUCACCACCGCCAUAACCACCGCCGCUACUAAGAGCUGGAUCAGCAGAGGAGCCGACACCGCACAGCUCGGCGCUCUUCCCCUGUGCCUGAGCAACACUGCGCUGACACGUCUGUCCGAUGCAGGGAGGAGACAGCAAGCGAGAGGCGAGGCUUGGCGGAGUUUUGACAUGCUAAGCAGUUAGUGUUCUUAAUAAGGAUCCAUGUCGGGGCAUCAUGAGAGAAAACAGCUUGUAUGCUGUCAUACGGACGCGGCGCUCACAACUUGGAAUCUCAAACAAGCCUCUCCCACACCCACCUCUAAUAUCUUCCACCACUGUGACAGAGAGAGAGAGAGAGAGAGAGAGAGAGAGAGAGAGAGAGAGAGAGAGAGAUUAGAUUAGAUUAGAUUAAAUUGUUUAUUAUCCACCAAAGUGGUUGUUACACAUUUUACAAGUAGUCAAGUAUACAAAUAUGAUUUAAUACCGGUGAUAUUUAACAAUGUAAAUACAAUAAAGUUGAGGAUCACUCGUCUAUAAUAGAUGCACCACAAAAAUGCUAAGUUAACGUACAUACACUGGUACACUUACAAUGAAAACAUCAAGGUGAAACAAACCUAACUAAAUAUAUUUUUGGUUAUUUUA